GAAAAUCCGUCGACUUUUUAAAUCAUGAGGGUUCAAGUCCCUCUAUCCCCAAAAAAGACCACUUGACCCCCAAAUUUUUCUCUUAUUUAUACCUUUUCGUU
RNAcentral lists this transfer RNA (101 nucleotides) under Psittacanthus auriculatus. RNAcentral's name for it is "partial tRNA-Leu". The record is from RNAcentral. Lineage: Eukaryota; Viridiplantae; Streptophyta; Magnoliopsida; Santalales; Loranthaceae.